Molecule: ribosomal RNA, 477 nt
Filed under: uncultured bacterium
Lineage: Bacteria
Description: bacterial SSU rRNA
Rfam family: Bacterial small subunit ribosomal RNA
Source: RNAcentral
GGCUAACGCUGGCGGCGUGUCUUAGCCAUGCAAGUCGAGCGGACUUAUGGGGUAACUUAUAAGUCAGCGGCGGACGGCGGAGUAACACGUAGCUAACCUACCCUCUGGACGGGGAUAACCUACCGAAAGGUGGGCUAAUACCCGAUGUAGUCAUCCUGUAUAGGGGUGAUGAAAGGUGGGCUUCUGUUUACAAGCUCAUGCUGGAGGAGGGGGCUGCGGCCUAUCAGGUAGUUGGUAGGGUAAUAGCCUACCAAGCCGAUGACGGGUAGCCGGCCUGAGAGGGUGACCGGCCACACUGGGACUGAGACACGGCCCAGACUCCUACGGGAGGCAGCAGUGGGGAAUAUUGGACAAUGGGCGAAAGCCUGAUCCAGCAACGCCGCGUGAGGGAUGACGGCCUUCGGGUUGUAAACCUCUUUCAGUAGGGACGAAGCGAAAGUGACGGUACCUACAGAAGAAGGACCGGCUAACUCCGUG